GGAAACAUUGGACAAAUGGGACAGUGUUGGAUUGUUGCCAUUAUGUGCAGCAAUCAUAGAGCAUUUACAACCUAUCUUCUAGAAGAGGAUGGCUGCCAUUGCCAUUGUCAAAGAGGGCUGCUAGGUGCAGCCACCUUUGUUGUAGAAGAGCUGGAGUUGGCAGCCACCUUUGUUGAAGAAGAGCUGGAGUUGGCAGCCACCAUUAUUGACCAAAGAACAAGUGGAGCAGCACCAUGGAUGCCUAUAAAUAGAGGCAUACGGUUGAGAGCAAAAUGAGAGAGUUGAGAGAGGGAAAGAAGAGCCAAAGAUGUGAGAAAUGUAGGAGAGAGUGGGCUGCCAAGGCAGCCAGCAGUAGCUGCCAUUGCAGCACUGAGAAGAGAGAAAUAGAGUGAGGUUGAGAGUUGCUAAAGAGAGGAUGAUUCCUCCUCCUCUAUUGUUGUAAAUCUUGUUCUCUCCCUAUAUAAUCAAAUGGCUUCUCCCGUGGAUGUAGGCGGUUUGCCGAACCACGUUAAAUAUUGUGUCAGUGUGCUUUACCUCCUAUAGGCAAAUAUCAGAACAUCACCGGUCGGAAUUCCCAACAAUUGGUAUCAGAGCACAUGGUUUAAAGGGGUGUUUGAUUUUUGCUCAAAAAUGAAAGUUGUCAAAAUUGUGUUUUGAUCAUACCACUUUGUAGAGGAGGCCGAGACGAAGCCAACGGUGAAAACGGCGUCAAAAUCGGACGUCGGACAUGGCCACACUCUCCAUCACUCUCCGGCAAGGCGUCUGCCCACGCGCGCAGACCCGCCCCACGCGUCUUCUUCGCCCGGAUGAGUUGACCCGACCCGAAUACCAGUUGACCCGACCCAUGUGGCUGACUCGGAUAAGGAUGACGUCAGCAUGAUGUAAAAGUGACGUCAUCAUGAACACUAGACAUGUGAGGGAUGACAUUAGCAUGAUGUAAUUGUGACAUCAUCAUGUACAGUAGCAUGGCCCAUGAUGACAUCAGCCUGAUGUAAUGGUGAAGUCAUCAUGCACAGUAGGCAUGCCAUGUCAGCAGCCACGUCAUAGACCAGUCAGCGUCCAGUCAACAGCCACGUCACCAAAGUGGGACCCACCUGCCACGUCACCAGACGCAAGCCGAACUGAGCCGAGCCGAGUUGAGCCGAGCCGAGCCAAAAAGGAGCCGAGCCGAGCCGCGAGCCAACGGAUAAGAUUCUGUGCAGCGGAGUCUACGUGCAACCGGAUCUGAGAUUGAAUCUGGGCCGUUCAUCAGGCCAGAAUUGUUUUGAUCAAAUCUUAGCCGUCUGAAAUGCGAUUUGGACGAUUUCAGACUUGUUUCCAGCUAAUUUGAUUGUUCCGGAUGCAAUGGUACGGUCCGAUCGUUGAGAUUUUAGACCAAAAAUGGCGGUGGUGAAUUAACAAAAGAGAUUGCCCGAUCAGGAGGCAUCUGAAGGGCAUUAUGGUGGUCGAUGGAGAUGAAGAAGAAGAAGAAGAAGAAGGUGCACAUGUUUACCCAAUUAUAUGUGCUGAACUGCUACGUGGGGAGAAUUUUAGUUGCCUUGAAGGAAGGCAAAAUUGGGACACUCUGGACACCCGAUCAUGUGGACGAUUUGAGGUGGAGAGUGGAAAUUGAUGAAGACAAAUCUUGACGAAUCUAAGAACUGGUAGUCUCGCCAGAUGUUGAGAAAUGAUGUAUCAAACCAGUAUAUUCCAGAUCACUUGUAAAGGAAAGCCGCAACAAAGCUAGCAAAUGGUUGUAUAUACGGAAAGACAGUACGAUGGAUAGAUAUGGCCUGAGAAGUUCUGUCUAGGAGAUUGGGUUUUAAGCGGGACCAGUGUGACCCCUCCAAUCUUUCCUGGGAACUUGCUUAGUGGAAGGAUUAUCCAUACGGUACUAUUUUCAUAUAUAUAGCAGUUUGUAAUGAAAUGGUUGAAGACUAGCAGGAUGACGGCACAAGGGAACAGUUGGGUUCCGUAUGUUCAAGGAUCUGAUGAAGUGGUGAUUUCUCCAAAGAAGUUAGAUUCAGUGACUGUGAUUUCUCGAGGGGAGAAUUGAUGAAAACCCUGAUAAUGGAAGAGAAAUACAGCAAGAGGAUAAAGAUUGGCACCCUAUUUUGACUUGGAUAGAUGUGGUGACAGGAUGAGCUGCUGUCAAACAUAAGCAAGGAAUAGGGAAAAAAUCUGGAGAACCGAAAUUGCACGAGAGCACACGGAGAUUGUGCAGGAGUACCCGUAGGAUCCAACGAGGUAUUGUAAUGAGACGAUAGGUGCAAGGAGAAGAAGAGUUCCCAGAUGAAGCUCAGAGCAGAGACUGUGUGAAAAAGUUGUACAACAGGAAGUCUCUUUGUGCUCUUGAUAAAGGCAACAAGCGAGGACCUUUCCAAUGCAUGCAAGGAUGGAAAGAUGAGCUGUUGCAGAAGCACCUAAUUAAGGGGGUGCGACCGCCGAUAAAAGGCGAAGACACCAAAGAGAGUUGGUGUGGGUGGAGCUAUCAAGCAGAAAGACAUAGAAGCUCCAAACAUAGAAAAUGAGAUGGAGGAUUGCGAAGAGUGCACCGCAACUCUCUCUUUCUAUGUGAUCAGUGGCAGUGAUCUCUCCCAAGUCCACAUGGUGGUAGAGAAUCUUGGAGCUACUGGAGACAUCCCCGAUGAAGGAGGAUGUGACCGCUUCAUGACGACAGGCGGAGACACCUCGGAUGGAAGGUGUGAGGACCAUGAUAUGAGUCCAUGUUCAGACCGUCUCAUGACGACAGGCGGAGACACCUCAGGAGAAGGUGUGAGGGCCAUGAUAGGAGCCCAAUUUCAGAACGCCCUAGAGCCAAUGUGAUGGCUAGAUAUAAGUGGACAAGUGUAUAGCCAAUGAAGAGGCUAUGAUGAGUAUGGAGACAAUGCAGGAUUGGAUGGAAGGUGUGAGGACCAUGAUAUGAGUCCAUGUUCAGACCGUCUCAUGACGACAGGCGGAGACACCUCAGGAGAAGGUGUGAGGGCCAUGAUAGGAGCCCAAUUUCAGAACGCCCUAGAGCCAAUGUGAUGGCUAGAUAUAAGUGGACAAGUGUAUAGCCAAUGAAGAGGCUAUGAUGAGUAUGGAGACAAAUGCAGGAUUGACUUUCAUGGAUAUUGCCCCCAUGCUAAAGAUCAAUGAGCUAGAAGACAUUUGCCUUGGACAAUAAGUGGAUGACUUGUGGAGCAUUAAGACGCGACUGCUAUGAAGGAGCAGAGGGCAUGCGCAGGUUCCGGGAACAAGUUGACUCUUGUCAAGGUGGUGAGCUCAGUAAUGACAUUGUAAUACUCAGAGUAUGAAGAUAGAGAUGGAUCAACCUUUAAUGGGCUGUCCCCAUGGUUAAAAGGGAGAGCUACCUGGACUCUUGAGACUAAGAGUGGGAGACUCACGGAGAAGUAAGGCGUGGUUCCUAGGGAGGAACAGAGGGCAGACGCAACUCCAGGAUGAGUAGACUCUUGGAAGAGUGGUGAGCUCGUGAUCAUAUUGAAAUACUCAAUGACUGUCGCACUUGGAAAUAUCCGUUUGAGGGGGUGUUGUAAGCCUUGGUGUAAGGCUUGAUAAAUCAUUCCGGGCCAAGCAUGGUUGAUAUGCUUGAAGGGAAUGUUGUUCCAGAGACAAGUGUUAACACUCUUCAGAUGAGAUGUGACAAACCAUCUAGUUGAAGUGAUCCUUUGGAGUGAGCAAAGGGGUGCUUGGGUGACUCUGUGAUUGAAAGGUUUGGUAAGUACCUGGAAACUUGGCCAAAGACGCUCUCGGAAUGGUAAGCUUGGAAGAGCUGCAGAAUGCAAGCAUGUGCUGAAGAAGCAAGAGGACAAUUGCCCACAUGAAUGGCAAAGGGGGUGAUUGUUGGAUUGUUGCCAUUAUGUGCAGCAAUCAUAGAGCAUUUACAACCUAUCUUCUAGAAGAGGAUGGCUGCCAUUGCCAUUGUCAAAGAGGGCUGCUAGGUGCAGCCACCUUUGUUGUAGAAGAGCUGGAGUUGGCAGCCACCUUUGUUGAAGAAGAGCUGGAGUUGGCAGCCACCAUUAUUGACCAAAGAACAAGUGGAGCAGCACCAUGGAUGCCUAUAAAUAGAGGCAUACGGUUGAGAGCAAAAUGAGAGAGUUGAGAGAGGGAAAGAAGAGCCAAAGAUGUGAGAAAUGUAGGAGAGAGUGGGCUGCCAAGGCAGCCAGCAGUAGCUGCCAUUGCAGCACUGAGAAGAGAGAAAUAGAGUGAGGUUGAGAGUUGCUAAAGAGAGGAUGAUUCCUCCUCCUCUAUUGUUGUAAAUCUUGUUCUCUCCCUAUAUAAUCAAAUGGCUUCUCCCGUGUUGGGUAUACGACCAAAGUCCCACAUUGGCUAGAAAUGGGGAGGAUCAUGGGUAUAUAAGGAUGGACAAAUAUCUCUAUUGGUAUGAGGCCUUUUGGGUAUAGCCCAAGAGCAAAUCCAUGAGGGCUUAGGCCCAAAGUGGACAAUAUCAUACC
RNAcentral lists this long non-coding RNA (4436 nucleotides) under Populus trichocarpa (black cottonwood). RNAcentral's name for it is "long non-coding RNA (PTRI_LNC001114)". Lineage: Eukaryota; Viridiplantae; Streptophyta; Magnoliopsida; Malpighiales; Salicaceae. The record is from RNAcentral.